GAUGAACGCUGGCGGCGUGCCUAAUACAUGCAAGUCGAGCGAACGGACGAGAAGCUUGCUUCUCUGAUUUUAGCGGCGGACGGGUGAGUAACACGUGGAUAACCUACCUAUAAGACUGGGAUAACUUCGGGAAACCGGAGCUAAUACCGGAUAAUAUUUUGAACCGCAUGGUUCAAAAGUGAAAGACGGUCUUGCUUUCACUUAUAGAUUGAUCCGCGCUGCAUUAGCUAGUUGGUAAGGUAACGGCUUACCAAGGCAACGAUGCAUAGCCGACCUGAGAGGGUGAUCGGCCACACUGGAACUGAGAAACGGUCCAGACUCCUACGGGAGGAAGCAGUAGGGAAUCUUACGCAAUGGGCGAAAGCCUGACGGAGCAACGCCGCGUGAGUGAUGAAGGUCUUAGGAUCGUAAAACUCUGUUAUUAGGGAAGAACAUAUGUGUAAGUAACUGUGCACAUCUUGACGGUACCUAAUCAGAAAGCCACGGCUAACUACGUG
This 497-nucleotide ribosomal RNA is filed under the name uncultured bacterium. RNAcentral describes it as "partial 16S ribosomal RNA". It matches the Rfam family "Bacterial small subunit ribosomal RNA", at positions 28 to 507 of the family's 1533-position model. The record is from RNAcentral.